GAUGAAGAACGUAGCGAAAUGCGAUAAGUAAUGUGAAUUGCAGAAUUCAGUGAAUCAUCGAAUCUUUGAACGCACAUUGCGCCCCUUGGUAUUCCGAGGGGCAUGCCUGUUCGAGCGUCAUUAUAACCCCUCAAGCUCAGCUUGGUGUUGGGGCCUGCCGCACGGGCAGCCCUUAAAAUCAGUGGCGGUGCUAUCUGGCUCUAAGCGUAGUAAUUCUUCUCGCUAUAGAGUCCCGGUGGAUGCUUGCCAUUAACCCCCAAUUUUCUAUGGUUGACCUCGGAUCAGGUAGGGAUACCCGCUGAACUUAAGCAUAUCAAUAGCGGAGGA
Molecule: unclassified non-coding RNA, 327 nt
Filed under: soil metagenome
Description: partial contains 5.8S ribosomal RNA, internal transcribed spacer 2, and large subunit ribosomal RNA
Rfam family: 5.8S ribosomal RNA (bases 1-120)
Source: RNAcentral